RNAcentral lists this ribosomal RNA (553 nucleotides) under Fusarium sp. RNAcentral's name for it is "eukaryotic LSU rRNA". It matches the Rfam family "Eukaryotic large subunit ribosomal RNA", at positions 23 to 587 of the family's 3401-position model. The record is from RNAcentral. Lineage: Eukaryota; Fungi; Ascomycota; Sordariomycetes; Hypocreales; Nectriaceae.
ACCCGCUGAACUUAAGCAUAUCAAUAAGCGGAGGAAAAGAAACCAACAGGGAUUGCCCUAGUAACGGCGAGUGAAGCGGCAACAGCUCAAAUUUGAAAUCUGGCUCUCGGGCCCGAGUUGUAAUUUGUAGAGGAUACUUUUGAUGCGGUGCCUUCCGAGUUCCCUGGAACGGGAUGCCAUAGAGGGUGAGAGCCCCGUCUGGUUGGAUGCCAAAUCUCUGUAAAGUUCCUUCGACGAGUCGAGUAGUUUGGGAAUGCUGCUCUAAAUGGGAGGUAUAUGUCUUCUAAAGCUAAAUACCGGCCAGAGACCGAUAGCGCACAAGUAGAGUGAUCGAAAGAUGAAAAGCACUUUGAAAAGAGAGUUAAAAAGUACGUGAAAUUGUUGAAAGGGAAGCGUUUAUGACCAGACUUGGGCUUGGUUGAUCAUCUGGGGUUCUCCCCAGUGCACUCUUCCAGUCCAGGCCAGCAUCAGUUUUCCCCGGGGGAUAAAGACUUCGGGAAUGUGGCUCUCUUCGGGGAGUGUUAUAGCCCGUUGUGUAAUACCCUGGGGGGGA